UACAAAGGGUGCGAGCGUUGUCCGGAAUCAUUGGGCGUAAAGGGCGCGUAGGUGGCCUGGUAAGCGUGCGGUGAAAGCCUGGGGCUCAACCCCGGGUCUGCCGUGCGAACUGCUAGGCUUGAGCACUGUAGAGGCAGGCGGAAUUCCGGGUGUAGCGGUGGAAUGCGUAGAGAUCCGGAAGAACACCGGUGGCGAAGGCGGCCUGCUGGGCAGUUGCUGACACUGAGGCGCGACAGCGUGGGGAGCAAACAGG
This 253-nucleotide ribosomal RNA is filed under the name uncultured bacterium. RNAcentral's name for it is "partial 16S ribosomal RNA". It matches the Rfam family "Bacterial small subunit ribosomal RNA", at positions 524 to 776 of the family's 1533-position model. The record is from RNAcentral.